CUCCGCCAUGUUGCCGCCCCCUGCCUGCGGUAGCGGCCACUGCGCCUGCGCAGAGCCUCCGGGGGGCGGAGCCCUCGUGCACCCCCUUUUUCGCCCUGCCCUCCUUCCCCUUCCACCCACCCAGCCCGACACCCCUCGUCCCUCCCCCAACCGCCCCGAACGGAUAGACAGAUCAGCAGCUACUUGAAGACAAGAACUAUAUCAUUCUUACAAAUAAAACCUUCAGCAAUGUACUGUGAUCAUUGACUGAUUCAUGAUUCCAUGCUAAGUGCUGGUGGUAUCAAAUAAGACACAAGCUCGUACUGUGAAGAUGAGUUUCUGCCAUCGCAAAGACUAUAUGGAAACGGGAGUGAUGUUGCUGAUUCUCCUGGCAUUUUAUGUAACUGAGCAUCACAGUGGUAGAACGGUCAUGAGUUAACUCAUGUGGACUCAUGAACCUGGUGGUGAUGGGCAGCCUACUGCUCCUGCUGAAACGUUGCAAGAAUUACAGGCUACCUGCUUGCUGCUGGUCUGGGAUGUGGCUGCUUAAAGAGUGAAAUCUCAUGACAUGCAGUGGUUAUACCCAGGUGCUGGUGUGAAUGGUCACUCUCCUGCCUGGCUGGAAGGUCCCUGGAGUGGGAUUCGUGGCAGCAGAAUUCUCCCAUUCUCUGGGUGCUGAGGAUACGGAUGUUACUGGAGAAGGAUGCUGUGGAUUGACAAGUCAGCCAGAGGGAUCAUUCACUCUGAGGAAGCCAGCUGCCACAUCAUGAAGACCCUCUGGCUCUUCUAUGAAGAAACUCCCAUGACAAGGAUCUAAGGCCUCGUGCCAAAAGCCAUGAAAGGGAGCAUCUUGGAGCUGAUCCUCUAGACCCAGUCUUCAGGGGACUGCAGACUGCAAGGCAACAGCUUAACUGGGAGGCCCUGAAUUGGAACCACCCAACUACCCAACUGUGCUGCUCUGGGAUCCCUGACCCUCAGAGACUGCCCACUGGCUCUAACCAUUUAUGGAAUUGCCUUGGCUACUCAAGGGACCAGAUGUUCCCUGGGGUUGUGACCCACUGCUCCUGCAUUUAGCCUCCUGGCUGGCUGCUUGCUUGCUUGGACUCAGCCCAGUACAGAUGGCAUCACUGCUAAAUCAGAGAGGAUGACACUCGGUUUCCUGGUCCUCCCUCAAGUUGCUACUUUGCUGGCACUCAGAGACCUCUAAGUCCUUAUGGAAGGUGUGAUAUUGUGGAGAAAGGAAGUAACACCUGUGUGAGUUAAAAGGCGACCCUCACAGAUACUGCAGAUUUGGGUCUGGAUCAUCACGAUGAAGUGAAUAUCGCAAUAAAGCAAGUCACAUCAAUUUUUCUUUUGCUUCCCAGUGCAUAUAAAAGUUAUGUUUAUACUGCAGUGCAGUCUGUUAGGUGUUCAAUGGUAUUAUGUCUAUAAAAACAAUGUACACACUUUAAUUUUAAAAUUAGUGCUGUUGGGAAAAUGCCUGAUACAGGGUUGCCACACACCUUCAAUUUGUAAAAAGAAAAAAAAAUUAUUGCAAAGUACAAUAAAAUAAA
This is a long non-coding RNA of Cervus elaphus (red deer), 1532 nucleotides long. RefSeq lists it as uncharacterized. Lineage: Eukaryota; Metazoa; Chordata; Mammalia; Artiodactyla; Cervidae. The record is from RefSeq and is a predicted model, not a curated record. The transcript has 11 exons.